AACGCGAAGAACCUUACCUACCCUUGACAUGCCAGGAACUGCAGAGAUGUGGGAGUGCGAAAGAGAACCUGGACACAGGUGCUGCAUGGCCGGAGCGUGGUGAGAUGUUGGGUUAAGCCGCAACGAGCGCAACCCGCCAUUAGUUGCCAAUAGUUGGGCACUAGUGGGACUGCCGGUGAUAAGCCGGAGGAAGGUGGGGAUGACGAAGAAUGGCCCUUACGGGUUGGGCUACACACGUGCUACAAUGGCGGUGACAGUGGGCAGCUACCUAGCAAUAGGCAGCUAACCAAAAAGCCGAGUGGAUUGGGGUGCAACGACCCCAUGAAGGGAAGCUAGUAAGUAGAAGCACGCUACGGUAAUACGUCCGGGUUGUACACACCG
This 381-nucleotide ribosomal RNA is filed under the name uncultured Actinomycetes bacterium. Its description in RNAcentral is "bacterial SSU rRNA". It matches the Rfam family "Bacterial small subunit ribosomal RNA", at positions 958 to 1392 of the family's 1533-position model. Lineage: Bacteria; Bacillati; Actinomycetota; Actinomycetes. The record is from RNAcentral.